UACGUAGGGUGCGAGCGUUAAUCGGAAUUACUGGGCGUAAAGGGCGCGUAGGCGGCCGCCUAAGUCAGACGUGAAAUCCCUCGGCUCAACCGGGGAACUGCGUCUGAUACUGGGUGGCUUGAAUCCGGGAGAGGGAUGCGGAAUUCCAGGUGUAGCGGUGAAAUGCGUAGAUAUCUGGAGGAACACCGGUGGCGAAGGCGGCAUCCUGGACCGGCAUUGACGCUGAGGCGCGAAAGCCAGGGGAGCAAACGGG
Molecule: ribosomal RNA, 253 nt
Filed under: uncultured bacterium
Lineage: Bacteria
Description: partial 16S ribosomal RNA
Rfam family: Bacterial small subunit ribosomal RNA
Source: RNAcentral